GACGAACGCUGGCGGCGUGCCUAAUGCAUGCAAGUCGCACGCGGCACCUUCGGGUGCUGAGUGGCGAACGGCUGAGGAACACGUGGGGACCUGUCCGGGAGUGGGGGACAACACCGCGAAAGCGGUGCUAAUCCCGCAUACGCUCUGAGGAGGAAAGCCGAAAGGCGCUCCCGGGUGGCCCUGCGGCCCAUCAGGUUGUUGGUGGGGUAACGGCCUACCAAGCCAAUGACGGGUCGCUGGUCUGUGAGGACGACCAGCCAGACUGGGACUGGGACACGGCCCAGACUCCUACGGGAGGCAGCAGCAAGGAAUUUUCGGCAAUGGGCGCAAGCCUGACCGAGCAACGCCGCGUGCAGGAAGACGGCCUUCGGGUUGUAAACUGCUUUUGCUGGGGAUGAUAACAGACAGUACCUGGCGAAUCAGCCCCGGCUAACUCUGUG
Molecule: ribosomal RNA, 440 nt
Filed under: uncultured bacterium
Lineage: Bacteria
Description: partial 16S ribosomal RNA
Rfam family: Bacterial small subunit ribosomal RNA
Source: RNAcentral